Molecule: long non-coding RNA, 6929 nt
Filed under: Triticum aestivum (bread wheat)
Lineage: Eukaryota; Viridiplantae; Streptophyta; Magnoliopsida; Poales; Poaceae
Description: long non-coding RNA (TAES_LNC022270)
Source: RNAcentral
UCCAGAUCACGCCCAAAUUCGUGGCUCGUCCAGCCGCCAAUUUGGUGGUGCCUUGUGUUGGUGCAUUUUCCCAGACCUGUUCUUUCUGUGAUUGUUUUCAAUCUCUCCCGCGUUCUUGCGGCUGAUUUCUUGGACGGAUUUCUCCGGCCGCGUCUCCGGAUUUCCUCGAUCUGGGGGCAAUGCGGCUGCGCAUUCGGUUCUCUGCUUCGGAAGCCCCCCAAACCCCCCACCAUUGGUGAUUAUUUCUGAGCUUUCUCGCCUUAAAAUCGGCGCGUUUCUCGGAGCACCUCGAGGCAUCUGAUUUCAGAAGGUCAUUGCCCCGAUUUCACGCGAACUUGGGCGGGGCAUUGUUCUGAGUUUUUUUUUUUUUUUUGUCAAAACAUUUGUGCCGCGUCACUGGACUUCGUCGGCCAAUUGCUUCAGGGAGCUCACGGAUUUGUUGCCCAUCGCCACUAACCUCCCGCCGGUAAGCCGGAGGAAUCACAUUGCGAUGGUCGGGUCGGUGUAGGAAAGAGCAGGCAAAAGAUGAGGCGCUGCAGGGGAGAAUGGCUCCUCGUGCCGUGCAUCAUCUCCGUGCUGCUCUUUGUACCAUUGGCCUGCGGACGAUUGCUCAUUGGCGCAAGCGAUAUGUCGCCGCCUGCACUGACACCAUCCUUCAUCAAGCAAGUAGACGAUUGGGUGAGUACAUUAUCCAUGUAUUUCAUCGCACUCGGUAGUAACAUCUGUAGUGAGAUGGUGCCAUUCCAUAGUUUGUGAUCAAGAGCAAAGUAGUUUAGUUUGGGUCAUCUUAAGAAGUGAGAAUUAACUUAUUAAGUAGUAUCAAUCCUUUUUGCAAGAGAAAAAACCGGUUCAGGAAGGCAGGAAUUGCCACCAUCGAGAUCAUAGAAUGAUAGAAUUGCAAGGAUUGUCCGGCUAUAUUUCUGGUAUGGUGUUUAGGUUGGUGCCUUCGCUCUAUUAGCUCAUGAUGCCGACAUUCAGAAUUGGCAUGUGGUGCUCUUCGAAUUACCUGUGACAGAAGAGAUAAGAUCACUGAAUUUCGAGGGGUUCCCAGAGGCCAAAGCUGUUUAUGAUUUUAUACUGCAAUUGAAAAUACUGACCAUCCAGAUUAAAACCCUGCAAGCAGAAGCAGAGAUUUUGAAACAAAAUAUUAACGUUCCCUCCUGUUAGGUACACAUCACUGCACUGGUCGAACAUCUUUAUGCGCUAAUGAUAUCUUUUUUUUUUUUAAUUAUUACUGCCUAUUUAAUGAGUAGCAUGUGUCGGAUUAAUUCUGUUAUUAUUGGUACUAUGAUGCAUGUAGAGUUAAGUAAGGAAUGUGAUGAUAAUAUGAUAUUUAGUCCAACAUACUAGUAACGUUUUACAGCAGGUAACCUUCAGCGUCGAAUUUGAUGGGAUAAAAAAUUGUACUCCCUUUGUUCACAAAUAUAAGAUGUUCUGACUUUUUUCUGAAUCAAAUGUAUAUAGACAUGUUUUAGUGUGUUUGUUCACUAAUUUCAGUUUGUAUGUAGUCCAUUUUGAAAUAUCCAAAAUAUCUUAUAUUUGUGAACAGAGGGAAUAGUUUCUAACUGCUGACUCUCACUGGUACUUCAUGGUAGUAGUUUAUAUUUUUAAUGGUCUGGUACUUCAUGGUAGUUUAUAUUAUUAUUCUGAAAAGGAUGCGCACCUACUUUAUCUCAUUAGCAUCUGUUUCUGAUUAAUUCUCAUGCACUGACAAGGGUGACUACUCGUUACGAUAUCUAUAGGUGGAACACGCGUGGCUCAAAUGUGGAUUGGACAAGAAAAGCCUUCAAGAUGUUAGAAACUACUACAACUACAACCAUGUACUUGAUAUCAUCCAUAGGAUAUCUGACAAUAAGGGAACUUCCCCUGUCAUUGAAAAAGGUGCCAGCUCAUUGACCCCAGAAAUCAAGCAAACUUUGCUGAUCUGCUUAAGCAAACAGAGUUCUGAGGUUGCAAAUAACCUACCCGAUGGUUAUAUCAAAACACUUACCGCCUCAAUAAGAGGAGAGCUGGCUCCGGGACCUGCUCCUGCAAAUGAAGCAGUAAAACCUUCGCCAGGGAAACCAGCUGAGGGUGCUUCAUCAGAAGCAACUACAAAAAAGGCAGUGCCUGCAACUAAAUCAGUAGGAAAAAAGGACAGCGAUGGCAUGCCAACUACCAAUGUCAUUGGUGUGUCCUUGGUUGUUAUAGCACUUUUAGCUCUUCUCUGCGUUGGCUGCUGCAUGUACCGUGAAAGCCAGAGUUCUGCGGCUUCUGCCUAUGAUAAUAAGCAACUCCUGAAUCUAUGUAAUGUCUUGUAUCAUCCAUUUUGCUCCAAGUCAAAGUUUUCCUCUCUUCUACCACUGACUUUUAUGCUUUCAUUUGCAGCGGAUUCUUGCAAGUCUUCCAGUGUAAAUCUAAUAGAUGUCACUAAGCUGGGAGCAUUGCCAUUGCAGUCAGAGGCUGGCCAAAAUGGCCAUGUGAAUCAAAGUUCACAGGAAGGCCCAAACACUGAUGAAAUUGGCUAUGUGAGACUAAGUUCACAGGAAGGCCCAAACACUGAUCAAAAUAACCAUGUGAAACUAAGCUCACAGGAAGACGCAAACACUGGUCAAAUUAGCUAUGUGAAACUAAGCUCACAGGAAGACCCAACCAGUGGCCGAAAUAGUGAUGUGAAGCUAACUUCGCAGGAAGACCCAAACACUGGCCAAAAUAACCAUGUGAAGCUCACAUCGCAGGGAAGUGCAAACACUGAUCCAGCAAGCUACAGCAGUUCCACCGAGUCAAUGGCUGCUUCUGUUGGUUCUGUGCAAGGAUCAACACCAAUGAUGCCACCUCCAGCACAUCCUCAAGUACUUGCGCCUCAACCAAAGGCUCCUCCUCCACCACCAGCUCCUCAAGCACUUGUGCCGCCUCCGAAUGCUUCUCCAGUUCUUUCCUCUGGACCUUCACCGCCACCAGCUCCAAAAGCCUCCCCGCCUCCUCCCUCAGGACCCUCACCACCUACUUCUCCAAAAGCUGCACCACCACCACCACCACCAUCAAAAUCUGGUGGACCUCUCCCGCCACCACCAGCGCUGCCUGAUUCUUCCAAAAUGCGUCCACCAUCACUUAUGAAGUCAGGCAAUAAAGCAGACACAGAUGCGGAUUCUAGUGAAGCUAAAACAAAGCUUAAGCCCUUCUUUUGGGAUAAAGUAGCAGCAAAUGCUAAUAAAUCAAUGGUGUGGGAUCACCUUAAAGCUGGAUCAUUCCAGUAAGUUGGUAGAGAUAGCUGAGCUAUAUACUCCCUCCGUUCCCAAAUAUUUGUCUUUCUAGGCAUUUCAAAUGGACACAACAUACGGAUGUAUGUAGACUUAUUUUAGAGUGUAGAUUCACUCAUUUUGCUCCGUAUGUAGUUACUUGUUGAAAUCUCUAGAAAGACAAAUAUUUGGGAACGAAGGGAGUAGUUAUCUAGACAAAUUCUUAGAUUUGUGUAGAUACGGAUGUAUCAAGUCACGUUUUAGUAUUAGAUACAUCCAUAUCUAGACAAAUCUAAGACAAGAAUUUUGGGACGGAGGGAGUACUAUUGUAAGAUCGCACCAUUUUAUAACUAAAUGGUACUUCUUCACAGGUUAAGCGAGGACGCUAUUGAAACACUUUUUGGUUGUAAUGCUGACAAGAAGAGUGGUGAUGCCAAAAAAGAUUUAACAUCAAAGGAAGCUGCCCAAGUUGUGAGGAUACUUGAUCCUAAAAAGGCACAGAACCUGGCCAUAUCAUUGAAGGCGUUGAGUGUUUCAGCAGAGGAAGUUUCUUGUGCAGUUAAGGAAGGUAAAGUGUACUGUCACUCGUUUAUACUGUGCAAGUGCACAGCUCUUCCUGGAUGAAAUGCGGCUUCUUCUGAUUCUUGCCAGUCUUGUAGAUACAGUUAUUUUAUUUUAUUUUGGGCAAAUCUCCAGUUUUUUUUUAAGUUGCAGUGAUACAUUGAAUACUUAUCCAGCUUCUGGUCUAUAACUCCAUGCAAUAAUAUAUCAGCUGCGUAUAUCAUUUGUGUCUUCACAAUCAGGAGUUGCGGCUAUUCUUCUGUGCUAAGGACAAUGAAUCACUUGAUUUCAUUUGCUUCUUCUAUUUUUCAAAGCAAAUAGUACACAUUUCUGCUAAACUGAUGUGAGUCUUGUCUUCUAGGUUAACUCUAAUUCUUGAACUAAUAACAAAGUCAGCAAGAUUAUGUAGCAUGCAAGUGAUGUCAAAUGCUCAAAUCGGCAUUUGGUUCUAGACUUAACCACAUUUGUGUACAUCUGGCCUCCAUAUUUUGGAAUGGACGCCUCAAGCAUGGGUUCAUGUGCUUCUGACUAUUCUAUUUGGACAUUUAGAACAAAGAACAUGUUGAUUAAAUCCUAUUUCCUGAUAACAUCUUUUGCCUUAUCAAUUUCCCUUGAUAAUUUGUAGGAAAUGAACUUCCAUCCGACUUGAUACAGACCUUAAUUAGAUGGGUCCCGAGUACUGAUGAGGAGCUCGGGCUUCGACUAUAUACUGGGGAACUCUCACAGCUUGGUCCUGCAGAGCAGUUCUUAAAAGCAAUCUUCGACAUUCCUUAUAUCUAUGAGCGCCUGGAUGCAUUACUUUUCAUGGCUGGUUUACCAGAGGAAGCUUCAAAUGUAAAGCAAUCUUUUGCCACCUUAGAGGUAAUAGCAUUACCAUUAUGACCUGUUUGGCUUCCACACUAUAUUCAGUUCUGUCGUAUGACUUGUAUCAGUCUUGUUUGAUGCUCUCUAGUCCUUUAACCGAUGAACAUUUUUAUCAAGUAAUAAUAGAGAUUAUCGUAGUGUAGAUGUUUCCACUCUUCCUGCACCUUGAUGUUUCUACCGAUCUUCUUAUCUCUGCUAUCUUGGCAUUUAAAUCCUGAUCAGAUGGCUUGUGAGGAGCUUAAAAACAGCCGUCUAUUCUUGAAGUUACUAGAAGCUGUUCUUAAAACAGGGAACCGGAUGAAUGUUGGCACGUUCCGAGGAGGAGCUCAAGCGUUCAAACUAGACACCCUGCUCAAGCUUUCCGACGUCAAAGGAACUGAUGGGAAGAUAACGCUGCUGCAUUUUGUUGUUCAAGAGAUGAUCCAUUCUGAAGGUGUCCGUUCUGCACGGGCUGCAAAGGAGCAGACGGGCAGCAUAUCCAGUGUGGACAAGAAUGAUCUUAUUGAAGACGAAUAUAAACAACUAGGUCUGCAGGUUGUGUCCAGUUUAGGAGAUGAACUUCAAAAUGUCAGGAAUGCAGCAAUCCUUGAUGCAGAUCAGUUGACUAUGUCGGUAACAAGUGUUGGCCACAGGCUUGGCAAAACCAAAGAAUUCUUGAACACAAGCAUGAAAAGUCUGGAUGAAGAUAGUGGGUUUCACCGCAAGCUUGUGCAUUUCGUGGAGCAGUCUCAAACUGAAGUUACUUUCUUGCAAGAGGAAGAGAAGAAAAUACGGUCCUUGGUAAAGAGCACUGUCAAUUAUUUCCAUGGGAGGACAGGGAAGGAUGAGGGCCUUCGUUUAUUUGUCGUAGUGCGGGAUUUUCUUGCAAUGCUUGACAAGGUGUGCAAUGAGGUGAAAGAAGCAUCAAAAGUAGCUCCAAAGAAAACGAAGACUGAAGUUACUCUGCCUUCCCGCACACCCAGAUCUUUCCAAGAUCCCCGGCGUAACCUUUUUCCGGCAAUUCAAGACCGGAGGGCACAUAGUUCAAGCUCUAGUUCUGACGAGGGAAGUUAACUCUAAACGAAGGUACUCUACCUACCUUUUCCUUGCAGCGCUUGGAGGUUUGCCCUUUGAAAACAUUAGUGAGAAGAGAUGGAAAAUCAGAGCUAAAGAAAAGGCAAGAGAUGGAAAAUUGACGAUAAAGCCAACUCUGGCUUUGGUCACUUGUUGCAGCAACAGAAUAAAAUUGCUGAAGGAAGGCAGUCAUCUUCCAUAACGUCCUUGACAGGCAAUUGUUGCACUUUGGCUCCUAUAUCAAACAAACAAAGGUGAUAUUCACGAUCAAGAUGGAGAAGUCGAAACGGAAGCCGUCGAAAGGGGUGGCGAAGAAAACUGACCCCUUAGUUAGGGCGUGCAUAACAGGGAGGGAGGAAGAAGCAGCAGGCUGGUUGACUGACUGUGUGACACUGCCUGCUGUUUUUUCGCUUAACAUUUGUACCAUCACAGAAAGGAGAGGAAUAAAUACAGCAUUAGAAAGAAAGAGAUGCACCACACGGGCUCAUAAACAUUGGAUUCUUUUGCUUGCGCUUGACAAAUACUUUUGCAAAGAGCAAUGCUGUAAAUUGUCAUACUUUCAACUGAAACAUCCUGUGUGUUCGCGACUUGGUGUGCCUUUUGCAAUGUACCAGAUUCGCACUGCUGUGCUGUCGUCUGGAUAGUCAGGGCACCCAAAACAAUGUGCAGCGCUGCUAUAUGUGGACUGAUAAUUGUUUCAUUUCCCUUGCCAUUUCUUUACGGAAUCCUUUUUUAUCCCGGGUGUUAGAUCGCAAGCAUUUCCUGCCAAAAUGUCUUGCUCGUGAAAAACUUCGCCAUCUACUCCCCGCCAAAAUUCCAUUAUCACUAUCUCGAGCCGUAGCACAACUACGGAUUGUAAAGAAGAGCACACAUCUCGUUGUCGAACAGCUUCGCAGAUUAAUAUUAGUAGGAUUUCGCAUCUAUAUCUCGUUUUCUAACCAUGAAACAAUAGGCAAGAAUUGACCAUGGAAAGAACAGAGCAACGAAUUGGCAAGUAAGUAAUCCAUAGGUGCAACGUUUUAUAGAACAUAGCAACGAAUUACAGAGGAUGUAACCAUUGUCCACACCUAGUUUAGCAUCGGUACAAGCACACAGAUUCAGAAACUAAUAGUAGUACUAACAUCCUAGUAGUAGUAAAACGCAACACCUAGGCAACACUUAACUGAACACGCUACUACACAGAACUGGAUACAGCCGAGCACCCACGACCUCAGAGGAGGAGUCGUCAUCUAG